GGCGCACGGGUGCGGAACACGUGUGCAACCUGCCUUUAUCUGGGGGAUAGCCUUUCGAAAGGAAGAUUAAUACCCCAUAAUAUACUGGAUGGCAUCAUCUGGUAUUGAAAACUCCGGUGGAUAGAGAUGGGCACGCGCAAGAUUAGAUAGUUGGUGAGGUAACGGCUCACCAAGUCAGCGAUCUUUAGGGGGCCUGAGAGGGUGAUCCCCCACACUGGUACUGAGACACGGACCAGACUCCUACGGGAGGCAGCAGUGAGGAAUAUUGGACAAUGGGUGAGAGCCUGAUCCAGCCAUCCCGCGUGAAGGACGACGGCCCUAUGGGUUGUAAACUUCUUUUGUAUAGGGAUAAACCUAGAUACGUGUAUCUAGCUGAAGGUACUAUACGAAUAAGCACCGGCUAACUCCGUGCCAGCAGCCGCGGUAAUACGGAGGGUGCAAGCGUUAUCCGGAUUUAUUGGGUUUAAAGGGUCCGUAGGCUGAUUUGUAAGUCAGUGGUGAAAUCUCACAGCUUAACUGUGAAACUGCCAUUGAUACUGCAAGUCUUGAGUGUUGUUGAAGUAGCUGGAAUAAGUAGUGUAGCGGUGAAAUGCAUAGAUAUUACUUAGAACACCAAUUGCGAAGGCAGGUUACUAAGCAACAACUGACGCUGAUGGACGAAAGCGUGGGGAGCGAACAGGAUUAGAUACCCUGGUAGUCCACGCCGUAAACGAUGCUAACUCGUUUUUGGGUUUUCGGAUUCAGAGACUAAGCGAAAGUGAUAAGUUAGCCACCUGGGGAGUACGAACGCAAGUUUGAAACUCAAAGGAAUUGACGGGGGCCCGCACAAGCGGUGGAUUAUGUGGUUUAAU
RNAcentral lists this ribosomal RNA (851 nucleotides) under Chryseobacterium bernardetii. RNAcentral describes it as "bacterial SSU rRNA". It matches the Rfam family "Bacterial small subunit ribosomal RNA", at positions 97 to 950 of the family's 1533-position model. Lineage: Bacteria; Pseudomonadati; Bacteroidota; Flavobacteriia; Flavobacteriales; Weeksellaceae. The record is from RNAcentral.